Molecule: ribosomal RNA, 922 nt
Filed under: Amanita spissacea
Lineage: Eukaryota; Fungi; Basidiomycota; Agaricomycetes; Agaricales; Amanitaceae
Description: LSU rRNA
Rfam family: Eukaryotic large subunit ribosomal RNA
Source: RNAcentral
GGAGGAAAAGAAACUAACAAGGAUUCCCUUAGUAACUGCGAGUGAAGAGGGAAAAGCUCAAAUUUAAAAUCUGGCAGCAUUUUGUUGUCCGAGUUGUAACCUAGAGAAGUGUAACCUGUGCUGGACCGUGUAUAAGUUUCCUGGAAUGGAGCAUCACAGAGGGUGAGAAUCCCGUCUUUGACAUGGACUACCAGUGCAUUGUGGUUGUGCUCUCAACGAGUCGAGUUGUUUGGGAAUGCAGCUCUAAAUGGGUGGUAAAUUCCAUCUAAAGCUAAAUAUUGGCGAGAGACCGAUAGCGAACAAGUACCGUGAGGGAAAGAUGAAAAGAACUUUGGAAAGAGAGUUAAACAGUAUGUGAAAUUGUUGAAAGGGAAACGUUUGAAGUCAGUCGCGUUAGCUGGGGAUCAGCCUGACAUUGUUGGGUGCACUUCCUGGUUGACGGGCCAACAUCAGUUUUGACUGCCAGAAAAAGGCCAAGGGAAUGUGGCACCUUUGGGUGUGUUAUAGCCUUUGGUCAUAUAUGGUGGUUGGGACUGAGGAAUGCAGUGUGCCGAAAGGCCGGGUUUCGACCACGUUCACACUGAGGAUGUUGGCAUAAUGGCUUUAAGCGACCCGUCUUGAAACACGGACCAAGGAGUCUAACAUGCAUGCGAGUGUUUGGGUGGAAAACCCUUACGCGUAAUGAAAGUGAAAGUUGAGAUCCCUGUCAUGGGGAGCAUCGACGCCCGGACCAGAACUUUUGGGACGGAUCUGCGGUAGAGCACGUAUGUUGGGACCCGAAAGAUGGUGAACUAUGCCUGAAUAGGGUGAAGCCAGAGGAAACUCUGGUGGAGGCUCGUAGCGAUUCUGACGUGCAAAUCGAUCGUCAAAUUUGGGUAUAGGGGCGAAAGACUAAUCGAACCAUCUAGUAGCUGGUUCCUGC